Pomacea canaliculata is the source of this 3231-nucleotide RNA transcript. RefSeq lists it as uncharacterized. The transcript is spliced from 9 exons. The record is from RefSeq and is a predicted model, not a curated record. NCBI's taxonomy places the organism in Eukaryota, Metazoa, Mollusca, Gastropoda, Architaenioglossa, Ampullariidae.
GCUUAACGACACACGGAACUAGAUUUUUCUCCCUUUAGAUAUGUUAAUGUGACUGGCCUAGUUAAAGGGACAGCCCAAUCAAAGGCGAUGAAACAGCCGGGCUUGUGACAAGGAGAGACCUGCUAGGAAUGCUUCAAAGUUUGCUGCACAGCCUUCUAGGGGCCAAGAAGGGGUGGGAGUUCUGCACCCACCCCUAAGGCGCCGGGUGCGCAAGACGUGUGGUAACCCACUGCAGACAUAUUAAAUGAAUGUUGUAGGAUGAAUGGCAACCACAAGGCGUAUCCAGUCUCCACAAUGAUGAGAAGAUAUGAAGGCGAAUCGACCUCGUGUACUUCAGAGUCCACAUUGCAGUUUGAUCACAGUCACUGAGGGGGACGCAAAAGCCUAGUAUCAGCAGCAAGGGACUAAAUGGAAAACAAACAUUGAACCAACAAAGCUCAAAUUUUCGUGCAUUCAAUAGAUAAAAUUGCCAAACGUGAGGCCUGGUGGACUGCAAAGGCUAAAAAUGAAAUUUCUAAGAGCUGUUCGUCAACUAAGUUUCUUAGUUUAAAGAAUACGGCGACAGUCACGGGUUACACAAACUUUCUGAGCUUCACAAUAAUGUCGAUCAACAUGACGGUGUUUGUAAUUACCAGCCUUUUUCUGCUUGUAAUCCUGAAGGACUGCUCAGGACAUGAAAUCCAAGGAUGCAGCCCUGAAACCAUCAAGGAGGUGAAUGCUUCUAGGAAUGUUUUUGAAUGUGUCAACAUUAAGCCUGACCAGCAUGUGUCAUGGAACAUAUACAAGAUGGACGACAAGACUGGAAAACUACGGCGUAUCCCUUCUGCGGUUUGCUCUUCGUUCGAUAUAUGCCGAAACUUUUUGGCAAAUGUUAAUGUAGAGAAAAAGAAGUCCAAUACCAGUUUGCUCACAGUUUUUCAUAAAAUUAUGUUUCAUGUCAUGAGAAUCUGGAGUACGGUUUUAAAACAUCAUACCGUCCACGACACGACAACGAAUAACCCUGCGACAUAAUAAUGAGAUGUAACUAAAGAAGCUAUUGCCCCUUAGGUUUUAACUUUAAGGUUUUUGUGAUGCAAAUUUCUUGUCUUGUUUCGUUAUGCCAUGUGUAUGAAUAUAGACAAAAGAAAUCUUUGGAACCUAUUGUUUUCAGGAAAAGUAAAGAUGACGAGACAAAAGUAGUUAAAAUCUCAUGUGUCGUGGAUUUCACAUGGCACACAAGGUGGACGUCUUCAGUCCACUUAGGCACGUUUCUUUACUUUUUUUCUUUCAUUUACUAUCUGGUAAAUAUAAAUAUUAAGAUAUCUGCUAUACGGCAGCCAGAUCAGGCUCUAUUAUGAUAUUUUUAAGCUUACCAUGUGCAGGCGGUAAAGAAAAUAAUUAACCUUAAUUUUCAGGUUGUUAGUUAUUCAAGGCUCAGGCGUUUAACCACCAGUGUUGAAAGCCUAAAACAGUAUUGAAAAAUAGGAAACAAUUCUUAAUUUUUAUGCCUAUUUUUUCAUUUUAAUAGACCCUGAUUAAAACAAAAUAAUCUUUGUCAUGUUCAUUUGAAAGUAAAAAAAAACAAAAAAAAAAUCAACAGAAUAUUUACGAGUAUCGACGCUGACGAUCUGAUAACAACAAUUCCGUCAUUCGCUUUGCGUCGACUCCUCAGUAACCUUAUCAGACGCAAACUGCUUAACACUUCAACUGUCUUCAUAUUUGAUCAAGUGAAAGUCACUGUUUACAGAAUAUUGAAUCCGGUGACUAUCUCGGGCUCAACAAUCUCUUUGUUUGACCUUAAACAGGAAUGUCUAUCGACAUAACGAUGUUUGUAAUUACCAGCCUUUUUCUGCUUGUAAUCCUGAAGGACUGCUCAGGCCAUAAAAUCGAAGGAUGCAGACCUCAAUCGCCUAUGGGAGUGAAUGCAGCUACAAACACUUUUGAAUGUGUAGACAUUCCGCCUGGUCAUCGUGUGUUAUGGUACGUCACGAAAAAGGAUCCUAAUGAUGAACACCUUGAAAUAGUCGCCAAAGUUGCGGAGUGUACUAUGGAACGCAAGGGCUGCAAGACAUACAUGAACAAUGUCAAAGCUUUCAAACAAACCGCGACCUCCAGCGUGGCGCAAAUCUUCUCACAAGAUAUGUCUGCCUUGUUGAGCAUCGGGUGUAAGGUUUUCACAGAGGGUUCACUGAUGACAGACUACGCCUGUGACUUAAUAUCAAGUGAUGUUCCAUCCUUCACCUGCAGUUUAACUCAACAACCAGACCAUUCCAUGUCAGCAGUCUGCACUAUUUUUAAGAUUUACAUACUAAGCCGAGACUACAAAUGCAAAUUUAUUCUGACAUUGCAGGAUGGGACAGUACAGACGAUCACGGACACGUCUUUCAUGAGGACGGAACAGACGGAGUGGCCCGCCACGGGCACGUGCUAUGGCCAUAACUUGCCUCGUAAAGAGCACAUUAAACAAGUGGAAGGAAUUUUUCUCCCUGACGACCUACACGCCAUCGCUAAUUUCCAAGAGUACUGAUGAACAAACCUUUCAAAUACCAUUGUAAAAUAGUCAAACUGGUUUAAGUAGUAGUAUACUGUAAUGUACAAGAAAAAUAUAACAACAUUGACAGUUUCAGAAGUGUAGGUAGUCUAAGAAAAGUCUUCUUAUAGAUGUAGAAAAUACAGGUAAGAAAUUCUUAAAAUAUAGUCACUAACUAAACCGAUUAAAAUCACUCGCCAGUAUAUAUAUAUAUAGAUAUUUAUAUUUGUAUAUAAAAUAAAGUCGUACACACACCACCAUUCCACACUGAGUGGUACACUGAUUACACUUACAGGACACAACUAAGAACAUACAUUAAAACAUAUAAUAUAAAAAUGAACAAGAAUAUGAGACGAUGUUAUUGUGUAUUGAUACUGAAUGUUUUAUUAUUGCUUUUACGACUUAAGUAGUGUGUAUCUCUAAAAUAUUUCUAAUUUCGUAUUAUCUGUUUCACGUCCUUGAUUUUAUUCUUUUAUUGUUUAUAUUUAAUGUGAGAAGCUUUUUCAGCUCGGGUGCACUUACUCUUGUGUAUAUGUAUCGCUAACAAUAUUACAAAUUUUUAAAAUAUUCAACAGCAUGAAACGUUUGCGCUUAAAUAAAUUAAGAAAAUAAAGUGGCAUUACUUUUUUGUUUCCCUUUCAUAGACAAUUUUAAAACGUCUGACAGUUUUAUUGUUUUAAACUGUUAUAAAGUAAUCCUUGGUGUUGGUAAUAAACUUUGCA